This is a long non-coding RNA of Dreissena polymorpha, 1962 nucleotides long. RefSeq lists it as uncharacterized. The transcript has 2 exons. Lineage: Eukaryota; Metazoa; Mollusca; Bivalvia; Myida; Dreissenidae. The record is from RefSeq and is a predicted model, not a curated record.
GCUAAUGUGGGACAACAGUUACGUGCAGACUGCACAGGCUAAUGUGGGACAACAGUUACGUGCAGACUGCACAGGCUAAUUUGGGACAACAUUUACGGCACAUAAAUUAAGCCAAAUUUUCAAAGAAAGCAGGUUAUAUAACAGCCAAUAGCUCGUCAUAAGCAAUAUUAUUGCAUAUAGUGUUGUACAUAUGGUUUGAACCUUCUGAAUUAUUAAAUUUGCUAUGUUUAGCAACAUUUAAUAGGCUUGUGUAUUAGUCAUAUAAAGUGUGGUGCUAGAUUAGAUAUUAAGUGUUGCAUAUUGUAGGUAUAUGCAGGAGUGUUAAUUUGUAUUUUUAUUGGCUUUAUCAUGCUUCAUAAAUGUUAAUUUUAAGUUAACAUAAGUAUUUAUAUGAUACUGAACUUACUUUGCUAGACAUUUUUAUAACAGAUAUUCAGCCAUGGGUAUAGGUUAAUGCAUUAUGCUGGUAUCCUAGCUUUAUUUCUACCUUUACUUUUAACCAUUCCAAUGGCUUUUCCAACAUGAUGCUUCCAAAGUAUUUAGAUUUUAUAUCACACUUUUUCUUAAUGCUUUAUAAAUAUAUAUUACCUGAGCACAACAUUUUAGUAGUGAACUUAGAGGUUUCCAUUUUUCUUUCCUUUGUUAUUGACCAUAUGAAAUGCUAUUGAAGCCACAUUUACUGCUAAAUUGUUAUGAAAAUUGGUUAAGUUUGAAACUAGGACAUUUAGUGUCAGAAAUAGGUCUUUAUGUCAAGUGGAAGGAAAACCUUGUGAGCACUUUAAAACAAAAAUUCUCUCUAAAAAUAUGAAACUCUUGUGUAAUUCAUAAUCAAGUACGUAAAUGGUUCUGCAUGGGUUCAUCAGGGAGUUGGGCAGUUUUCUCAAUAUGCUUAUAGACCAGGUCUUGUGAUCAUUUUUUGCCAAAACUAUAAAAAAAACUUGUUAUUAAAAUUGUUCUCAAUGACUGAGCUUGCAAAAAAUUCAUCUCUUUUGAAAAUAAAUGCUUCUGGGUUCUUCAAUGUCUUUCUUUUGAUAAAUUAAAACUUAAAAAACACUAGAAUCCACAUUUAUUUUAAAUCUAAAAAAAAUUUGAACAUUUGUUGUUCUGAUUCCAUAGCACAUUCUGAAACUGUGAAAUGUUGGUUUAAAAAUGAAUUCUUCAGUCAAGAUAAAAACAACACCACUGGGAACAUAAUGAAUUGCACAUUUUUUACCAAUCAACAUGACACUUGGUCAAGCAUUUUUCUCAAUAAUAUCUUGGCAAUGGACUUGCAUAAGUUAGUAAAAUAACAUAUUAUAAACCCUGUUAUUAAUGAUAUAAAAUAUUUUAUUAACAAGAGCAAAGGUGAGCGCUCUCUGUCCUCUUGUUUUAGUUUAUUGUUUUCUGUUUGUCUAUUAUUUUAUUAAGCAGUAGCCAAUUAUGCAUGAAGAAAAACCUUGACAUUUGGGAAAUAUGUGUGGAGAAAUCUUCAGAUCGGUAAUUAUAACCUAUCUAACUUUCACAUGCUUUUUUUGCUAAAAUUCUCAGUUUCAGUGCCGUUUUUAUUUUUCCACUUGCAGAUAUUACCCUUUAAGAACGAAAUCGAUGCAUUUUUUCUUUCUUUUUGAAAUUAUUCAGUGGUCAGUUUUUCCUUUAUUGGGAAAUUGCUUUGUACUUGUAUUUUAUAAAGAAAGUAACAAAUCGCUGUACAUAUAUGUGUCUGUUAAUUUUAUAUUGUAUCUUUAUGGUGAGCAACAAAAGCAUAAAUUAGUUUCUAAAUAAAAGUUAUAUUGGUUUCUAAAAUAACUGCUACUUAAACCAUGUUUUUAUCUACCCAGUAAAAGUAAGUUCACUGGUUGAAAACUUCAGCUCAAUACAGACAUGAUAAGAAAAUGCACCAUUGUUUAAGAUGGUAAUCUCUGUUAAUGUAUGCACUCCUUUGAAGCAUGGAUAGGAUUGUUUAAUAAAAUACUAUUCCUUUUA